GAUGAACGCUGGCGGCGUGCCUAAUACAUGCAAGUCGAGCGAACAGACGAGGAGCUUGCUCCUCUGACGUUAGCGGCGGACGGGUGAGUAACACGUGGAUAACCUACCUAUAAGACUGGGAUAACUUCGGGAAACCGGAGCUAAUACCGGAUAAUAUAUUGAACCGCAUGGUUCAAUAGUGAAAGACGGUUUUGCUGUCACUUAUAGAUGGAUCCGCGCCGCAUUAGCUAGUUGGUAAGGUAACGGCUUACCAAGGCGACGAUGCGUAGCCGACCUGAGAGGGGGAUGGGCAGCCGGGGAGAGGGGACGACCACCCACAUCAGAGGGGAGACACGGACAAGAAACCUCCCGGAAGGGGCAGAGGCGAGACGGGAGAAACGGGCGAGAGCGUAAAGUGGCCAGGCCGCGUAAAACUUGUUUGUCAGGGAAGAAAAAAUGUCUAAAAAAUGGGGCCAUUUUGGAGGUACCCAAAGAAGAAGCCCCGGCUAAACUCGGG
RNAcentral lists this ribosomal RNA (496 nucleotides) under uncultured bacterium. RNAcentral's name for it is "partial 16S ribosomal RNA". It matches the Rfam family "Bacterial small subunit ribosomal RNA", at positions 28 to 507 of the family's 1533-position model. The record is from RNAcentral.